RNAcentral lists this ribosomal RNA (505 nucleotides) under uncultured bacterium. Its description in RNAcentral is "bacterial SSU rRNA". It matches the Rfam family "Bacterial small subunit ribosomal RNA", at positions 21 to 507 of the family's 1533-position model. The record is from RNAcentral.
GGCUCAGAGUGAACGCUGGCGGCAGGCCUAACACAUGCAAGUCGAGCGGCAGCGCGUCCGACCACCCUCGGAUGGUCGGAUGGCGGCGAGCGGCGGACGGGUGAGGAAUGCAUCGGAAUCUGCCUCGUUGUGGGGGAUAACGUAGGGAAACUUACGCUAAUACCGCAUACGACCUACGGGUGAAAGUGGGGGACCUUCGGGCCUCACGCGAUGAGAUGAGCCGAUGCCGGAUUAGCUAGUUGGCGGGGUAAAGGCCCACCAAGGCGACGAUCCGUAGCUGGUCUGAGAGGAUGAUCAGCCACACUGGAACUGAGACACGGUCCAGACUCCUACGGGAGGCAGCAGUGGGGAAUAUUGGACAAUGGGGGCAACCCUGAUCCAGCCAUGCCGCGUGUGUGAAGAAGGCCUUCGGGUUGUAAAGCACUUUUGUUGGGGAAGAAACCGGCCGGGUUAAUACCCUGGUUGAAUGACGGUACCCAAAGAAUAAGCACCGGCUAACUUCGUG